Molecule: ribosomal RNA, 292 nt
Filed under: uncultured bacterium
Lineage: Bacteria
Description: partial 16S ribosomal RNA
Rfam family: Bacterial small subunit ribosomal RNA
Source: RNAcentral
GUGCCAGCAGCCGCGGUAAUACAGAGGUCCCGAGCGUUGUUCGGAUUCACUGGGCGUAAAGGGUGCGUAGGUGGUGAGGUAAGUCGGAUGUGAAAUCUCCAGGCUCAACCUGGAAACUGCAUUGGAAACUACCUUGCUUGAGGGUUUGAGGGGGGACUGGAAUUCUCGGUGUAGCAGUGAAAUGCGUAGAUAUCGAGAGGAACACCAGUGGCGAAGGCGAGUCCCUGGAAAACACCUGACACUGAGGCACGAAAGCUAGGGGAGCAAACAGGAUUAGAUACCCCCGUAGUCC